AGGGCGGGAGGAGGGGGCAGGACGCGGGAGUUGGGAUUCUCACUCACUCUCGCUCUGUCCUCUUAAAGGGGCCGCGCGGGACGCCGGGGUGGGCGCGCGGGCCCGGACGGGCGCUUCGAGGGCGCGGGCUAGGGGCGAGGGGGCGGCGGCGGCGGCGAACGGCUGGAGAGGGCGGAGGGGGCGGUUGAUUUUUAAAUUGUGCCUCCACUCGCUCUCUCGCGCCCUGGUUCCUGCGAGUUGUUUAUUCCAUUUUCCUCUUCCUGAGACGGCCGUCGCCGUUGCGCGUGCGCGCCGCGGCGCGGUGCCUUGUGGGUAGCCGGCGCGCUGGGGGAAGCCUGGCCGGGCGCCGGGCCCCCGGGGGCAUCCGCGCGCGGGCGGCCUCGGGACGGGCGGCGUGACGUCCUCGCGAGAGCGGGUGCCUCCCCGUUCUGUGUGUUUCCCUACCGAUCUAGCCAGGUGUCAUCCUUGAUAAGACACAAUUGACAGUGGCUGGCCGUUGGGAGGCUGCGCCCGGGAGCGGUCCGCGCCCUCGCCCCGCGAGGACUGGUUUAAUUUUGCAUCGCGCUGCCUCUGCCGCGUCCCUUUUCACCCCCACCCCACCGCCCUCCUGCGAGGUGCCGAGCACUGCGGGACUGACUACCGUAGCUUCUGGGCUCUUUGUCAAAAAGUGGGCCAGGAGAAUGUUGCAAUCGGCAAACCCCCUGCUCGGUGCUGCACCUGUUUCCUCUGUUAUUUAUAUUUCUAAAGGCCCUCAGGAAAUUUUUAUGAAAACUCAGAUGCCAUCCGGGACGGCACUGCCUGGACGUCCCGGGGAAGUUUCACUUAUAAAUGUACUGGAUUGUUUUUCUCCAGUCAGCCUAGGUCUGGAUUUGAAAUUAAUCUUUAAAACAUAAUUUUUCCCCCGGCGACCUCUGAUGUUUUUGCUCUACUAUAUUUAAUUUGUUUUUUACAGGUUUUAAAGAAUUUUAACGGCAAGGAAGGGAAUUUUAACAGUUUAGCUUUUCUCUUAGAUUUUCACGAAAGGUGAAUGAGAGGUGGUGUUGACGGUAUUUAGGAAUUCUAGCAAACAGUCACAGAAGAAUGGAAAUAAACAAAACCACCAUGCUGCAAAAAGGGAAAGGUGGAUCCUAUAGAGCAAAAUCUGGAAAAGACUUUUUGACCCUUCACGCCCGGCCCAGCGCUUGACCCUCCUAAGAACCCUAUUAAGACAAAAGAAGAGGAACACUCACGUUUUAUACUUAAACAAAUACCAGGAAUUGAACUCACAACCUUGCGCUUGCCAGGCA
Chinchilla lanigera (long-tailed chinchilla) is the source of this 1286-nucleotide long non-coding RNA. RefSeq lists it as uncharacterized. The record is from RefSeq and is a predicted model, not a curated record. NCBI's taxonomy places the organism in Eukaryota, Metazoa, Chordata, Mammalia, Rodentia, Chinchillidae. The transcript is spliced from 3 exons.